AUUUAUAGCAGCUUAUAGAUAUUAAUGUAUAAUAUUAGGUAAUUAUGAUUUUACUAUUAUAAAAUUAUAAGCCAAAAAUGUUUAGUUGAAUUUAGAGAUUGUUCAACCACAUAUGGGUAUGCAAACUACCCUAUCUAUUCGACAGCAGUGAGGAAUUUUGGACAAUAUGCGAAAGCAUGAUCCAGCGAACUGAUGAAAACGAAGAAGGUGACUUUAACUGUAAAGUUUAAUGCGAAUUUUAGCACAUUGAGCUAAAAAUUAAGAGAAGCUCUGGCUAAUACAUGUGCCAGCAGCCGCGGUAAUACAUGAGGAGCUAGCGUUAUCUAUAUUGACUGAGUGUAUUAAAUACGUAGAGAUUUAAAAUAUAUUAAUAUAACGUCGUAAUUAAAAAUAAAUGUAUUAAUAAAUUUUAGAAUUUAAUUUAAAUUAAGGAAGUAAAACUUAUAAUACAGCGAUUAAAUGCAGUUACAUUAUAAGGCUUUCCUAAAACUAAGGUAGCUUGCUAAUUUAAAUUGAACUUGAUGUAUGAAAGUAUGGGUAUCGAUAAGGAGUAGUUGCCCUAGUAGUCCAUACUGUAAAAGAUGAAUAUUCUAUGAUUUUUUAAUCAGGAGUAGUUAACAUAAAAUAUUCUGCUUGGGGAGUAUUAUCGCAAGAUUGAAACUUAACUGAAUUGGCGGGAAUUUGUUCGAACGGUGGAACAUGUGGUUUAAUGCGAUAAUCCACGCAAAAUCUUACCAACAUUUGAAGCUUUUCUAGUAGUAUAAUUAGUAUUAAAACUAAAUAGAUUAGUACGGUAUUGCAUGGCUGUCGUCAGUUCGUGCUGUGAGGUAUAGGAUUAAGUUUUUUUUAACGAAUGUAACCCUAUAAAUAAGUUUUUAUAAUAAUAUUUUACUUAUAUUUUAUGUACUUAUUUAUUCUGUAAUUGGUUACUAGAUUUAUCUUUAAAUUUUUAACUAAUUACAGGGGUUUUAGGCUGAAGUCAAGUCCCUAUGGUCUUUAUAUGUUGGGCUACACACGUGUUACAAGGAUAAAAACAAAGAGCGGCAAAAACUUAAAUUUUAGCAAAUCUCUAAAAAUUAUCUUAGUUCAGAUUGUUUCAUGAAAUUCUGAAACAUGAAGAUGAAAUCGUUAGUAAUUGUAAAUUAAAAUGUUACAGUGAAUUAAUUGUCAAAUUUUGCACACACCGCCCAUCACGCUCGGAGAGUCAUUAAUGGUGGAAAAAGCUAAAGUUUCUUCUUAAACUAAUAAUUGUAUUCAUAAUUUUUUUAUGAAGUAGUUAAUGAUUAAUUUUGAAUCUAUUACUGGUAAUUUGAGUGAAGUUGACACAAGGUACUGGUAGGGGAACCUGUUGGUGGAAUAUAUUAUAA
Molecule: ribosomal RNA, 1367 nt
Filed under: Tetrahymena paravorax
Lineage: Eukaryota; Ciliophora; Oligohymenophorea; Hymenostomatida; Tetrahymenidae
Description: SSU rRNA
Rfam family: Bacterial small subunit ribosomal RNA
Source: RNAcentral